UCUCCUGUAUUCAUGGUAAGGAAAUUACUCCUAAAAACCUAGUUGUGUGGUCGUCGUACAAAUACAUACAGAAACCUCAUAAAGAAGUUGAUCUUCUUCUUCCUCACAAAGAAAACGAUUCUUCUCUGCGUGUGUGUCACUAGCAACAACAAGAAAAUCGAGUUCGUGUUCUGUUUUUUUUCUUGAAUCGAAGUGCUGAAAAGAAUUACCAAGAAAAGGGCUAUCUUUCUUCUCUGCGUUUCAGGUUUUUCCUCCACCUCCAAUGUCUCCCUCUUCCACCUCCAACGCCACCCUCUUCCACCUCUAGUGUUUUGAACUCGAAUUCGGAUGAUUUCAAAAACCCUAAAGAAACAACUCUAACCAUCUCUUCUGUAUUGUGAUUCUCUAUAUUUUUUUUACCCCUUUCUGAUUUGCGAGUUCAAAUUUCAAAGAGACAAAGACAUUGGUGGUGACCCUUCUGCCCAUGACAUCGCCACUCUUUUAGCAGGUAUAAAAUACAACCUAUCCUUCUUCCCUGAGUUCCAAUUAAUGGUCCAUUUGUGAACCUUAGUAUCAGCGAUGCUUUUGUUUGGCAUCUCUAAUAUGGUGAGUAGAUGUUUAUUUUUUAGGACCUUUUUUCUAUCUUGAUGCAUCUUCAAGAUUAAUAUUGGUCAAUAUUUCAUAAUUUUUUUAUUAUUCUUGGCUCCACCUAAUGCAAUUUUAGUUUUAUCUGUCAAUUUCUUUUAAUAUUCAUCUUUUUUUGCAUGAUUUCUACUUGUAACCCUCUUAUGUAUUUCUUAUUUCUGGUACCUUGUGUUGAAUGUCUGGUGAGGAUUCAAUAAAGAAAAGAAAACAGUACAUCCUUACGUCACCCCCCUUAUAUGACAAACUCUCAUCUUUCACUUCCCCUAAUGCUUUGUCGCUUUUCUCAACACCACACCACUAGAUUUUUACUUCAGGAAAUAACGUUCAUAAUGAUGCCAUCGUAACCCCUAUGGAAACAUAAAUUAAGUUUUGAUUAUCAGAGCCUUAUUGGGGAAUGCUUAUCAGGUGGCCAAAAUUUUGUUUGAACUCAUGUCAUCAAGUCAGAUAUGGCAGAAGAAGUUCCCGCUAUGUCUAUUUCAUUGAAACAGAGAGAUAUCGAGGCAAAACAAGGUAUACAUGCACCUUAAUCAAGUGUAUACCAAUUUAAUUAUGAUCUUAGGGGCUGUUUGGCAAGAUCUGGAUUUUUAAGGUUUAAAUUUCUAAGAGGGUCUGAAUUUUUAAGAUCUGAAUUUUUAAAUGUUGUUUGGUUGGAACCUCUGAAUUGUUGUGUUGAAUGAUAAAAAUGACCAUUUUACCA
Lactuca sativa (garden lettuce) is the source of this 1321-nucleotide long non-coding RNA. RefSeq lists it as uncharacterized. The record is from RefSeq and is a predicted model, not a curated record. NCBI's taxonomy places the organism in Eukaryota, Viridiplantae, Streptophyta, Magnoliopsida, Asterales, Asteraceae.